UCUUUUUGCGUGUUAUAUGACGCAUUGUAUCGCGUUCCGAGUGGCAAAAUGCGUGUAAUUGCGUGAAAUGCGGUUCUCGGGAGAUGAGAAAUGUACGUCAUCAACCCGAGAGCAGCGCUAAGACGAGACUGGAAGCUAGAGUGAUGCAGCUCGUUGUCGGUUUCGCUGCUUUGCUCGGUAGCGUGCCGUGGAAUUAAAUCCUUGGCUUGCUUCAUAUUUAAUUUGUCGGGACUUGUAAUUGCGUGAAAUGUGGUUCUCAGGGGAUGAGAGACAUACGUCAUCGACCGAGAACAGCGCUAAGACGAGACUGGAAGCUAGAGUAAUGCAGCUUGUUGUUGGUUUCGCUGCUUUGUUCGGUAGUAUGACGUGGAGCUAAAUCCUAGGGCAUCGUUAUGCUAGCUUAUCGGAGUCCUUGGUGAGCUCAUAUUUAACGUGCCGGGACUUGUAAUAAUUGGCACACAUACUAGGGAAAUAUACCUGGAAAUCAUGAUUUAAAUAUGUAUUAUGUUGUCGGGUGUGGUCGUCAUGUGGAGCUCAUGAGCUCUCUUUUCGACACGUAAACCUGGGAAAGAAACAUGAGAGCUGACGUAAUCAAGUGCUGUCAACUGCUGUCGCGCUAGGUUUUAUGUGAUUGGUGUGGUUUACGCGAAAAAUGCACGGUACAAAUAC
RNAcentral lists this long non-coding RNA (669 nucleotides) under Hordeum vulgare. Its description in RNAcentral is "long non-coding RNA (HVUL_LNC005739)". The record is from RNAcentral. Lineage: Eukaryota; Viridiplantae; Streptophyta; Magnoliopsida; Poales; Poaceae.